RNAcentral lists this transfer RNA (21 nucleotides) under Natrix natrix (European grass snake). RNAcentral's name for it is "partial transfer RNA-Leu". Lineage: Eukaryota; Metazoa; Chordata; Lepidosauria; Squamata; Natricidae. RNAcentral also lists the same sequence under 1 other name. The record is from RNAcentral.
UCUACCAAAGGAUAGUAGUAU